Long non-coding RNA from Carassius gibelio (silver crucian carp), 631 nucleotides. RefSeq lists it as uncharacterized. Lineage: Eukaryota; Metazoa; Chordata; Actinopteri; Cypriniformes; Cyprinidae. The record is from RefSeq and is a predicted model, not a curated record. The transcript has 2 exons.
AAAUUGGACACGAUGUAAACUCUUUCACAUGACGAACUGUUAAAUAAUACUAAUACAUUUUUUUACAAAUAUAUGUACAAUUAAAAUAUUUGUUUUUUUAACACUUAAUUACAUUCAAGAUUCUGCGCUGAGAAGCCACACCCCCUACUUGACCGCAUCGUUGUUUGCGAGAAGGGUCGCUUGUUGUUUGCCCUUGUUGCCCCGCCCCAAUUACGUGAAUGCGGCAGAUGAUUGGAUGCCUGAAAGUGACGACGUCAGUUGCGUCAGUUUACAGGCGUGACAGAGCUGGUAUAAAAUGAGACGAGCGGCCAUGAUUCUUUCUCUGCGGCAGUCCUCGAGAAGCGUGUGCGAUGGUUACGUGCUUUUUCGUCAAAGCAUCUGAAAACUGGUCAAGUAAGAGUCCAUGACGUCCACAGAAGUGAACCUGCUUCUGAAGGCCCAACGCUGGAAUUGGUGUUUCAUUAAUUUGUAUCUGGUCCUUUAUGUAAAAAUGUUGGAACCUGUUUAACCCUUUGUUUUAAGUCUGUAGUCAUGCACCGACUAUUUUUGCCAUAUUUUUUUUGGUCCAGUUUAUAGCAUAUUUAAACGUGUUUCUGUAUUUUGAGCAUUAUUAAUAAACCAUGCGUCUUUA